Ictalurus punctatus (channel catfish) is the source of this 352-nucleotide long non-coding RNA. The record is from Ensembl. NCBI's taxonomy places the organism in Eukaryota, Metazoa, Chordata, Actinopteri, Siluriformes, Ictaluridae.
GGGUUAGGGUCGUUUAGGACUAGGGUUAGGGCUGUUUAGGGUGAGGUUUAGGGUCGUUUAGGGUUAGGGUCAUUUAGGUUUAGGGUCGGUUAGUGUUAGGGUUAGGGUCGUUUAGGGUUGGGGUCAUUUAAGUUUAGGGUUGUUUAGGUUUAGGGUUAGGGUCGUUUAGGUUUAGGGUUAGGGUCGUUUAGGGUACGGUUGUUUAGUGUUAGGGUUGUUUAGGAGUAGGGUUAGGGCUGUUUAGGGUGAGGUUUAGGGUCAUUUAGGGAUAGGGUCAUUUAGGGUUGUUUAGGGUUAGGGUCGUUUAGGGUUAGGGUUAGGGUCGGUCAGGGGUAGGGUCGUUAGGGUUAGG